GGCCAGGUAGCUCAGUUGGUAGAGCACCGGACUGAAAAUCCGGGUGUCGGCGGUUCGAUUCCGUCCCUGGCCA
RNAcentral lists this transfer RNA (73 nucleotides) under bacterium HR33. It matches the Rfam family "tRNA". From Rfam's summary of the family: Transfer RNA (tRNA) molecules are approximately 80 nucleotides in length. Their secondary structure includes four short double-helical elements and three loops (D, anti-codon, and T loops). RNAcentral also lists the same sequence under 1 other name. The record is from Rfam by way of RNAcentral.